This 72-nucleotide transfer RNA is filed under the name Nemania diffusa. RNAcentral's name for it is "tRNA-Ala". It matches the Rfam family "tRNA". Rfam says of the family: Transfer RNA (tRNA) molecules are approximately 80 nucleotides in length. The record is from RNAcentral. Lineage: Eukaryota; Fungi; Ascomycota; Sordariomycetes; Xylariales; Xylariaceae.
GGGGGUAUCGUAUAAUAGGUAAUACAGUAAUAUUGCAUAUUAUUUAUUUGGGUUCGAGUCCCCAUAUUUCCA